UACUGCUGUAGUCUGAGCUGGAGAUAAUUCUUGCCUGAAGUCAUCUGGAUGGAGAAAACACGUUUGCACCAGGUCAAUGCAGAGUUCCAGCAGAUCACCACAGUAAAUGUUGAGGCCAAAUUCAUUUCAACUGCUGUCCAUCUUCCAAGCUAAGAAAAGUGCUGCUGGAGCCUGACACCGUGCAAGAACUGAUGCUGUUCUCCAAAGUGGAGUUGCUGUUGAGAAAACCAGAGAAUUCUUCAUCCGAUGUCCCAUUGAUCACCCUGGGAAAGAUGAUAAUGCUUUAAUCAAGGAGUUAAAGAAUGUUGAUGGGUCUGCCAUUAAAGUGGAAGAAGAGUUGGCAGCUGAAGUGAUGGUGAUACACCGGCUCCAGGAUGAGAGUGGACAAUCAGCGAUGUUGGGAUCAUCAUUGAAGGUUCAGCUGUUCUUGGUCAUCUUGGGGAUCUCAGCAGAGCUUGUUUCUACCUGCUAGGACUGACUUAUGCCUUGGAUCUGAAGUACCCAAAAACUCUGAAAUACAUUUUUGAAGUAUUUCAAAAGAUGCUUGUGGAAGUGGAUGCAGGAAACCUUUCAACAAAGGUGGUAAGACUAAAAACAGCUUGUUCCUGUAUUUGUGGGGAAGCUGGUCAGAUGAGUAUAGCUGUGACUUAUUCAUAACUGAACAGUAUGUAACUGUUCACUGUUA
RNAcentral lists this long non-coding RNA (685 nucleotides) under Gouania willdenowi (blunt-snouted clingfish). RNAcentral describes it as "lncRNA (ENSGWIG00000017048.1)". The record is from RNAcentral. Lineage: Eukaryota; Metazoa; Chordata; Actinopteri; Blenniiformes; Gobiesocidae.